GGAUGCGAUCAUACCAGCACUAAAGCACCGGAUCCCAUGAGAACUCCAAAGUUAAGCGUGGGCAUAUCGGAUGCGAUCAUACCAGCACUAAAGCACCGGAUCCCAUCAGAACUCCGAAGUUAAGCGUGCUUGGGCGAGAGUAGUACUAGGAUGGGUGACCUCCUGGGAAGUCUUCGUGUUGCAUCCCUUCUUUUUGCCGUCCGUCCACCGCGGCACGUUUCCGACCCACGCUGCGCCCGGCCGUUGCGUCCCCUCGUUUUAGCCGUCCGCGCGGGACUUAGGCAAAUAAAAACAAAUGAAAAGUGUUUACGGUAUGACGGCGUUGCUCCUCUCGCUAGACGCUAUCCUUCCCUACGGCGCGCCCGGCAGCUUCCGGCCGUCUAUCCCGGUUAUUUGACAAGGGGGACGGAGGCGCGGGGGCAUGUC
RNAcentral lists this unclassified non-coding RNA (426 nucleotides) under Oryza alta. Lineage: Eukaryota; Viridiplantae; Streptophyta; Magnoliopsida; Poales; Poaceae. The record is from RNAcentral.